RNAcentral lists this transfer-messenger RNA (374 nucleotides) under Bacillota bacterium. It matches the Rfam family "transfer-messenger RNA". From Rfam's summary of the family: Bacterial tmRNA, also known as 10Sa RNA or SsrA, is named for its dual tRNA and mRNA-like properties. The record is from RNAcentral. Lineage: Bacteria; Bacillati; Bacillota.
GGGGAUGCACUGGUUUCGACGGGGGUGUGGAAGCCGGAUAAGCGAGCGGUAGUUUGUCCAGUCUACCUUAAAAAGGACACGUUAAAUAUAAACGCUAAAAAGAACAAUAAUUUCGCACCUAUGGCUAUGGCUGCGUAAGCAGUUAUAAGCUGUGCGUGUCAGCUUCGGCUCACCUGCAGGCCGAAUGUCUGGCAUCGAACAUGCAGGAAAACUUCAUGUGAAAGCCCGGCAGCAUGAGGGACUAACGGGAUAGCCGACGAGGAAGCCUGCUUCUGGGCGUCUUCUGAGGCGAAGCUUUAAAACAGAAGCUGCGCUCGGAGAAAUUCUGUCGGAAAUGCUUUCGGACAUGGGUUCAAUUCCCAUCAUCUCCACCA